UCGGGAAUUUUGGGCAAUGGGCGAAAGCCUGACCCAGCAACGCCGCGUGAAGGAUGAAGUAUUUCGGUAUGUAAACUUCGUAAGAAUAGGAAGAAUUAAUGACGGUACUAUUUGUAAGGUCCGGCUAACUACGUGCCAGCAGCCGCGGUAAUACGUAGGGACCAAGCGUUGUUCGGAUUUACUGGGCGUAAAGGGCGCGUAGGCGGCGUGACAAGUCACUUGUGAAAUCUCCGGGCUUAACUCGGAACGGCCAAGUGAUACUGUCGUGCUAGAGUGCAGAAGGGGCAAUCGGAAUUCUUGGUGUAGCGGUGAAAUGCGUAGAUAUCAAGAGGAACACCUGAGGUGAAGACGGGUUGCUGGGCUGACACUGACGCUGAGGCGCGAAAGCCAGGGGAGCAAACGGG
RNAcentral lists this ribosomal RNA (404 nucleotides) under uncultured Chloracidobacterium sp. RNAcentral's name for it is "bacterial SSU rRNA". It matches the Rfam family "Bacterial small subunit ribosomal RNA", at positions 355 to 776 of the family's 1533-position model. The record is from RNAcentral. Lineage: Bacteria; Pseudomonadati; Acidobacteriota; Blastocatellia; Chloracidobacteriales; Chloracidobacteriaceae.